GGGGGGGGGAGAGAAGAGAGGGCCAGGAAGCACGCACGUGGGGGGAUGGGGUGCUGCGCACGCGGGAGCGCACUUUUCGAGGUGCCCAUCAUGGCUUCCUCCAUCUUCACGCUCUUCCUACCCCCUUUGAUUUACUUCCUCGUUCUUUUUCCACGCUCUCUCUUUCUCUCCCCCUCCUCCCUGAAAGCCGCCUCUGCGCAUCCUU
This is a non-coding RNA of Podarcis lilfordi (Lilford's wall lizard), 205 nucleotides long. The record is from the annotation of a GenBank genome assembly. Lineage: Eukaryota; Metazoa; Chordata; Lepidosauria; Squamata; Lacertidae.